AAUUAUUGGUAACAAAUCAAUAAUAAAGUUUUAAAACAAAUAAAUCAAAAACAAAACCGAAAAAAAAAAUUCGAAUUAUAUAAUUUAUAAAAUUUUCUGAAAUAAAAACAUAAAAAUAAGAAAACAAAGUCUUCGAAAAUUAAGGAAACAAAAUGGAAGAUAAAAAUUGGAAACAAAAUAGCCGGAAAAAAGGUAACAUUUUCGGAUAUAUAUACUUAGAAAAAAUCAAGGGAUAAAACAAUAAAAACAUUAAACCCCUAAAAAUCGGCCCACUCUUUACCCACCAAUAAAACCAGUUUUUUACCAAGUGUCCUGGACACCUG
RNAcentral lists this long non-coding RNA (323 nucleotides) under Salvia miltiorrhiza (redroot sage). Its description in RNAcentral is "long non-coding RNA (SMIL_LNC001865)". Lineage: Eukaryota; Viridiplantae; Streptophyta; Magnoliopsida; Lamiales; Lamiaceae. The record is from RNAcentral.